Molecule: ribosomal RNA, 468 nt
Filed under: uncultured bacterium
Lineage: Bacteria
Description: partial 16S ribosomal RNA
Rfam family: Bacterial small subunit ribosomal RNA
Source: RNAcentral
GACGAACGCUGGCGGCGUGCUUAACACAUGCAAGUCGAACGGAAAGGCCCUGCUUUUGUGGGGUGCUCAAGUGGCGAACGGGUGAGUAACACGUGAGUAACCUGCCCUUGACUUUGGGAUAACUUCAGGAAACUGGGGCUAAUACCGGAUAGGAGCUCCUGCUGCAUGGUGGGGGUUGGAAAGUUUCGGCGGUUGGGGAUGGACUCGCGGCUUAUCAGCUUGUUGGUGGGGUAGUGGCUUACCAAGGCUUUGACGGGUAGCCGGCCUGAGAGGGUGACCGGCCACAUUGGGAAUGAGACAAGGCCCAGACGCCUACGGGAGGCAGCAGUGGGGAAUAUUGAACAAUGGGCGGAAGCCUGAUGCAGCAACGCCGCGUGCGGGAUGACGGCCUACGGGUUGUAAACCGCUUUCGCCUGUGACGAAGCGUGAGUGACGGUAAUGGGUAAAGAAGCACCGGCUAACUACGUG